RNAcentral lists this transfer RNA (71 nucleotides) under Saprospiraceae bacterium. RNAcentral's name for it is "tRNA-Cys". It matches the Rfam family "tRNA". From Rfam's summary of the family: Transfer RNA (tRNA) molecules are approximately 80 nucleotides in length. Lineage: Bacteria; Pseudomonadati; Bacteroidota; Saprospiria; Saprospirales; Saprospiraceae. The record is from RNAcentral.
GGUCACGUGGCCGAGGGGUUAGGCAGAGCUCUGCAAAAGCUCCCACAGCGGUUCAAAUCCGUUCGUGACCU